Molecule: ribosomal RNA, 229 nt
Filed under: uncultured bacterium
Lineage: Bacteria
Description: partial 16S ribosomal RNA
Rfam family: Bacterial small subunit ribosomal RNA
Source: RNAcentral
UACGUAGGCGGAAAAUUAAGUCAGUGGUGAAAUCCUGCAGCUUAACUGUAGAACUGUCAUUGAUACUGGUUUUCUUGAAUAUAGUUGAGGUAGGCGGAAUGUGUAAUGUAGCGGUGAAAUGCUUAGAUAUUACACAGAACACCGAUUGCGAAGGCAGCUUACUAAACUAUUAUUGACGCUGAGGUACGAAAGCGUGGGGAGCGAACAGGAUUAGAUACCCUGGUAGUCC